GGUCAAGUGAAGAAGCGCAUACGGUGGAUGCCUUGGCAGUCAGAGGCGAUGAAAGACGUGGUAGCCUGCGAAAAGCUUCGGGGAGUCGGCAAACAGACUUUGAUCCGGAGAUCUCUGAAUGGGGGAACCCACCUAGGAUAACCUAGGUAUCUUGUACUGAAUCCAUAGGUGCAAGAGGCGAACCAGGGGAACUGAAACAUCUAAGUACCCUGAGGAAAAGAAAUCAACCGAGAUUCCCUUAGUAGUGGCGAGCGAACGGGGAUUAGCCCUUAAGCUUCAUUGAUUUUAGCGGAACGCUCUGGAAAGUGCGGCCAUAGUGGGUGAUAGCCCCGUACGCGAAAGGAUCUUUGAAGUGAAAUCGAGUAGGACGGAGCACGAGAAACUUUGUCUGAACAUGGGGGGACCAUCCUCCAAGGCUAAAUACUACUGACUGACCGAUAGUGAACCAGUACCGUGAGGGAAAGGCGAAAAGAACCCCGGAGAGGGGAGUGAAAUAGAACCUGAAACCGUAUGCGUACAAGCAGUGGGAGCCUACUUGUUAGGUGACUGCGUACCUUUUGUAUAAUGGGUCAGCGACUUAUAUUCAGUGGCAAGCUUAACCGUAUAGGGUAGGCGUAGCGAAAGCGAGUCUUAAUAGGGCGUUUAGUCGCUGGGUAUAGACCCGAAACCGGGCGAUCUAUCCAUGAGCAGGUUGAAGGUUAGGUAACACUGACUGGAGGACCGAACCCACUCCCGUUGAAAAGGUAGGGGAUGACUUGUGGAUCGGAGUGAAAGGCUAAUCAAGCUCGGAGAUAGCUGGUUCUCCUCGAAAGCUAUUUAGGUAGCGCCUCAUGUAUCACUCUGGGGGGUAGAGCACUGUUUCGGCUAGGGGGUCAUCCCGACUUACCAAACCGAUGCAAACUCCGAAUACCCAGAAGUGCCGAGCAUGGGAGACACACGGCGGGUGCUAACGUCCGUCGUGAAAAGGGAAACAACCCAGACCGCCAGCUAAGGUCCCAAAGUUGUGGUUAAGUGGUAAACGAUGUGGGAAGGCUUAGACAGCUAGGAGGUUGGCUUAGAAGCAGCCAUCCUUUAAAGAAAGCGUAAUAGCUCACUAGUCGAGUCGGCCUGCGCGGAAGAUGUAACGGGGCUCAAACCACACACCGAAGCUGCGGGUGUCACGUAAGUGACGCGGUAGAGGAGCGUUCUGUAAGCCUGUGAAGGUGAGUUGAGAAGCUUGCUGGAGGUAUCAGAAGUGCGAAUGCUGACAUGAGUAACGACAAUGGGUGUGAAAAACACCCACGCCGAAAGACCAAGGGUUCCUGCGCAACGUUAAUCGACGCAGGGUUAGUCGGUUCCUAAGGCGAGGCUGAAAAGCGUAGUCGAUGGGAAACAGGUUAAUAUUCCUGUACUUCUGGUUACUGCGAUGGAGGGACGGAGAAGGCUAGGCCAGCUUGGCGUUGGUUGUCCAAGUUUAAGGUGGUAGGCUGAAAUCUUAGGUAAAUCCGGGGUUUCAAGGCCGAGAGCUGAUGACGAGUCGUCUUUUAGAUGACGAAGUGGUUGAUGCCAUGCUUCCAAGAAAAGCUUCUAAGCUUCAGGUAACCAGGAACCGUACCCCAAACCGACACAGGUGGUCGGGUAGAGAAUACCAAGGCGCUUGAGAGAACUCGGGUGAAGGAACUAGGCAAAAUGGCACCGUAACUUCGGGAGAAGGUGCGCCGGCUAGGGUGAAGGAUUUACUCCGUAAGCUCUGGCUGGUCGAAGAUACCAGGCCGCUGCGACUGUUU
This 1766-nucleotide ribosomal RNA is filed under the name Pseudomonas aeruginosa. RNAcentral describes it as "partial 23S ribosomal RNA". It matches the Rfam family "Bacterial large subunit ribosomal RNA", at positions 1 to 1805 of the family's 2925-position model. Lineage: Bacteria; Pseudomonadati; Pseudomonadota; Gammaproteobacteria; Pseudomonadales; Pseudomonadaceae. The record is from RNAcentral.